CAGUAGCCACGGUAAUACGGAGGAUCCAAGCGUUAUCCGGAAUCAUUGGGUUUAAAGGGUCCGUAGGCGGUCUUGUAAGUCAGUGGUGAAAGCCCAUCGCUCAACGGUGGAACGGCCAUUGAUACUGCAGGACUUGAAUUAUUGGGAAGUAACUAGAAUAUGUAGUGUAGCGGUGAAAUGCUUAGAGAUUACAUGGAAUACCAAUUGCGAAGGCAGGUUACUACCAAUUGAUUGACGCUGAUGGACGAAAGCGUGGGUAGCGAACAGGAUUAGAGACCCGCGUAGUCCCUGUCUCUUAUAC
This 301-nucleotide ribosomal RNA is filed under the name uncultured bacterium. RNAcentral's name for it is "partial 16S ribosomal RNA". It matches the Rfam family "Bacterial small subunit ribosomal RNA", at positions 509 to 807 of the family's 1533-position model. The record is from RNAcentral.